UAUUGAGACACUCAAAGGUUGGAAAAAGGAGCACCGUUUUCUCUUUACUUUACACAGAACAGAAAUAUUUCUCACAUGUUGCUUGUGCGAAGGGUAACACUGAGAACUAAUUGGCUAUACUCAAUGGGUGUGCUAAAAAUUUUGCUGAAGGCUUUAGAGCAGUUUUGGUUGACAAGGAUCAGAAUCCGAAAAGGAACCCGGCAAGCAUUGAAGAGGUAGAGGAAAACGAGAUGGAAGCUCUCUGUAAACCAUUAAGUCCAUAAGUGGAAGAGUCAAAGCUGAGACAGAACAGCAGCUAUGGAACUACCGUUUAAAGGCCGCGCAUUUUUGUUGUCUAACGACUCUUCGACGAACCCAAUGAACCACAUUUGCAUUUCGGAUUGUACGUUCACUGCGAAUUUAGCUGUCUCCUUCAUGCCAUCUUUGUCUGUCCACAUCCCAACAAUGUUGUCUGAAAC
This is a long non-coding RNA of Brassica oleracea var. oleracea, 458 nucleotides long. RefSeq lists it as uncharacterized. The record is from RefSeq and is a predicted model, not a curated record. The transcript is spliced from 4 exons. NCBI's taxonomy places the organism in Eukaryota, Viridiplantae, Streptophyta, Magnoliopsida, Brassicales, Brassicaceae.